This 397-nucleotide ribosomal RNA is filed under the name uncultured bacterium. RNAcentral's name for it is "partial 16S ribosomal RNA". It matches the Rfam family "Bacterial small subunit ribosomal RNA", at positions 338 to 732 of the family's 1533-position model. The record is from RNAcentral.
CCUACGGGUGGCAGCAGUGAGGAAUAUUGGUCAAUGGUCGCGAGCCUGAACCAGCCAAGUCGCGUGAAGGAGGACUGUACUGAGUAUCGUAAACCUCUUUUGUAAAGGAAUAAAGACUGGCACGUGUCCCCGUUUGUGUGUACUUGAUGAAUAAGCAUCGGCUAACUCCGUGCCAGCAGCCGCGGUAAUACGGAGGAUCCGAGCGUUAUCCGGAUUUAUUGGGUUUAAAGGGUGCGUAGGUGGGUUGUUAAGUCAGUUGUGAAAGUCUGGGGCUCAACCGUAAGCGCGCAGUUGAAACUGGCAGUCUCGAGUAGAGGUGAGGUAGGCGGAAUGCGUGGUGUAGCGGUGAAAUGCAUAGAUAUCGCGAAGAACUCCGAUUGCGAAGGCAGCAUACUAA